RNAcentral lists this ribosomal RNA (377 nucleotides) under uncultured bacterium. Its description in RNAcentral is "bacterial SSU rRNA". It matches the Rfam family "Bacterial small subunit ribosomal RNA", at positions 9 to 380 of the family's 1533-position model. The record is from RNAcentral.
GAGUUUGAUCUUGGCUCAGGACGAACGCUGGCGGCGUGCCUAACACAUGCAAGUCGAACGGACGAGAGGGAGCUUGCUCCCUCAAGUUAGUGGCGGACGGGUGAGUAACGCGUGAGUAACCUGCCUUUCAGAGGGGAAUAACAUUCUGAAAGAAUGCUAAUACCGCAUAAUGUCACAGUAUCGCAUGGUACAGUGACCAAAGGAGCAAUCCGCUGAAAGAUGGACUCGCGUCCGAUUAGCUAGUUGGCGGGAUAAAGGCCCACCAAGGCGACGAUCGGUAGCCGGACUGAGAGGUUGAUCGGCCACAUUGGGACUGAGACACGGCCCAGACUCCUACGGGAGGCAGCAGUGGGGGAUAUUGCACAAUGGGGAACGAA